Molecule: ribosomal RNA, 460 nt
Filed under: uncultured bacterium
Lineage: Bacteria
Description: partial 16S ribosomal RNA
Rfam family: Bacterial small subunit ribosomal RNA
Source: RNAcentral
CCUACGGGCGGCAGCAGUGAGGAAUAUUGGUCAAUGGGCGCGAGCCUGAACCAGCCAAGUCGCGCGAAGGAUGACUGCCCUACGGGUUGUAAACUUCUUUUAUAAAGGAAUAAAGUGAGGCACGUGUGACUUUUUGUAUGUACUUUAUGAAUAAGGAUCGGCUAACUCCGUGCCAGCAGCCGCGGUAAUACGGAGGAUCCGAGCGUUAUCCGGAUUUAUUGGGUUUAAAGGGAGCGUAGAUGGGUUGUUAAGUCAGUUGUGAAAGUUUGCGGCUCAACCGUAAAAGUGCAAUUGAUACUGGCAGCCUUGAGUACAGUUGAGGUAGGUGGAAUUCGUGGUGUAGCGGUGAAAUGCUUAGAGAUCACGAAGAACUCCGAUUGCGAAGGCAGCUUACUAAACUGCCACUGACAUUGAUGCUCGAAAGUGUGGGUAUCAAACAGGAUUAGAUACCCGAGUAGUC